Molecule: transfer RNA, 74 nt
Filed under: Buchnera aphidicola (Anoecia oenotherae)
Lineage: Bacteria; Pseudomonadati; Pseudomonadota; Gammaproteobacteria; Enterobacterales; Erwiniaceae
Rfam family: tRNA
About the family: Transfer RNA (tRNA) molecules are approximately 80 nucleotides in length. Their secondary structure includes four short double-helical elements and three loops (D, anti-codon, and T loops).
Source: Rfam by way of RNAcentral
GGUGCGGUAGUUCAGUAGGUUAGAAUAUCGGCUUGUCACGCCGAGGGUCACGGGUUCGAGCCCCGUCCGCACCG